Molecule: long non-coding RNA, 519 nt
Organism: Pyrus x bretschneideri (Chinese white pear)
Lineage: Eukaryota; Viridiplantae; Streptophyta; Magnoliopsida; Rosales; Rosaceae
Exons: 4
Source: RefSeq, a predicted model, not a curated record
GCAAUAUGGAAUAUAUAUUGGUGAUUUUCCAACCUCUCGUAAAGAAGAGCAGCUGCGUAUUAUUGCGAAUAGGGUUGUCCUGUGAAUUUGUCGUCGCUCCCAAUUCCAACCGGGCAAGACUUUUGCCCUAGAUCGCAGCCAUGUCUUCCAAGCAAGGUGGAAAAGCUAAGCCCUUGAAGGCACCCAAGGCCGAUAAGAAGGAGUACGACGAGUCCGAUUUGGCCAACCUUCAGAAGAAAAAAGAUGAGGAGAAGGCACUGAAGGAGCUUAGAGCCAAGGCACAACAGAAGGGGUCAUUCGGAGGUGCUGGGCUCAAGAAAAGUGGGAAGAAAUGAGUGGAUUUAUCCAACCCCAAGCUGGGAUACAAUAUAUCGAUCUUGAGCUGUAAUUAUGAACUCGAUUGUGUCGACGUCUUUCAAUUUAUGCGAUGGUCUAGUUUCUAAUGUGCGCUAGAUCUAGCUUGAGUGAAUUUCAGUGUGUAACAUUAUAACCGAGUCUAAAUAAAUUGAGUUUGUCUAA